GACGAACGCUGGCGGCGUGCUUAACACAUGCAAGUCGAACGGAAAGGCCCUGCUUGCAGGGUACUCGAGUGGCGAACGGGUGAGUAACACGUGGGUGAUCUGCCCUGCACUUCGGGAUAAGCUUGGGAAACUGGGUCUAAUACCGGAUAGGAGCCAUCUUUAGUGUGGUGGUUGGAAAGUUUUUUCGGUGUAGGAUGAGCUCGCGGCCUAUCAGCUUGUUGGUGGGGUAAUGGCCUACCAAGGCGGCGACGGGUAGCCGGCCUGAGAGGGUGUACGGCCACAUUGGGACUGAGAGACGGCCCAGACUCCUACGGGAGGCAGCAGUGGGGAAUAUUGCACAAUGGGCGCAAGCCUGAUGCAGCGACGCCGCGUGGGGGAUGAAGGCGUUCGGGUUGUAAACUCCUUUCGCUAGGGACGAAGCUUUUUUGUGACGGUACCUAGAUAAGAAGCACCGGCUAACUACGUG
RNAcentral lists this ribosomal RNA (466 nucleotides) under uncultured bacterium. RNAcentral's name for it is "partial 16S ribosomal RNA". It matches the Rfam family "Bacterial small subunit ribosomal RNA", at positions 28 to 507 of the family's 1533-position model. The record is from RNAcentral.